RNAcentral lists this ribosomal RNA (447 nucleotides) under uncultured bacterium. Its description in RNAcentral is "bacterial SSU rRNA". It matches the Rfam family "Bacterial small subunit ribosomal RNA", at positions 330 to 793 of the family's 1533-position model. The record is from RNAcentral.
UCCAGACUCCUACGGGAGGCAGCAGUGGGGAAUAUUGGGCAAUGGAGGAAACUCUGACCCAGCAACGCCGCGUGAAGGAUGAAGGUUUUCGGAUUGUAAACUUCUGUCGCGAGGGACGAAGAAUGACGGUACCUCGUAAGAAAGCCCCGGCUAACUACGUGCCAGCAGCCGCGGUAAUACGUAGGGGGCAAGCGUUAUCCGGAUUUACUGGGUGUAAAGGGAGCGUAGACGGAAAGGCAAGUCAGAAGUGAAAACCCAAGGCUCAACCAUGGGACUGCUUUUGAAACUGUCAAACUAGAGUACGGGAGAGGUAAGAGGAAUUCCUAGUGUAGCGGUGAAAUGCGUAGAUAUUAGGAGGAACACCAGUGGCGAAGGCGUCUUACUGGACCGAAACUGACGUUGAGGCUCGAAAGCGUGGGGAGCAAACAGGAUUAGAUACCCGUGUAC